UACGUAGGUGGCAAGCGUUGUCCGGAUUUAUUGGGCGUAAAGCGAGCGCAGGCGGUUCUUUAAGUCUGAUGUGAAAGCCCUCGGCUCAACCGAGGAAGGUCAUUGGAAACUGGGGAACUUGAGUGCAGAAGAGGAGAGUGGAAUUCCAUGUGUAGCGGUGAAAUGCGUAGAUAUAUGGAGGAACACCAGUGGCGAAGGCGACUCUCUGGUCUGUAACUGACGCUGAGGCUCGAAAGCGUGGGGAGCAAACAGG
Molecule: ribosomal RNA, 253 nt
Filed under: uncultured Vagococcus sp.
Lineage: Bacteria; Bacillati; Bacillota; Bacilli; Lactobacillales; Enterococcaceae
Description: partial 16S ribosomal RNA
Rfam family: Bacterial small subunit ribosomal RNA
Source: RNAcentral